RNAcentral lists this long non-coding RNA (859 nucleotides) under Pan troglodytes (chimpanzee). Its description in RNAcentral is "long non-coding RNA NONPTRT013807". Lineage: Eukaryota; Metazoa; Chordata; Mammalia; Primates; Hominidae. The record is from RNAcentral.
CAAUGCUAAAUAUUUCACUCCACUCUCUUCUUGCUUGCAUGGUUUCUGAGAACUUGGAUAUAUUCAGCUCUCCAUAUUUGCGGGAUCUGCAUAUGGGGAUUCAAGUACCGUAGGUCAAACCUCUUUAGGAACAAAAAUAAAUAACAAUAUAAAAAUGCAAAUGAACAGCAAUACAGCAUAACAACUAUUUACAUAACAUUUGCAUUUUAUUAGCUAUUAAAAGUAAUCUAGAGUUGAUUUCAAGUAUGCAGAAGAUGUAUGCAGUUUAUAUGUAAAUGAUAUGCGAUUUUAUAGAAUGAAAUUGGGCAUUCUCAGAUUUUAGUAUCUGCGAGGGUUCCUGUAAACAAUCCUCCUUUGAAUGAAUAUGGGGACAAUUUUAAUUGCUAUCUUUGCUUCUCUAUAGGUCUGGUGAUUUUUCUGUCUUCUUACAAGAUUUUUUUCUUCAUCUUUGAUUUUUUGAAGUUUGAAAAUGGUAUACCUGGAUGUGAUUGUGUCUGUAUUUAUCAUGUGUUGUGUUCUUUGAGCUUUCUGGGUCACUGGUUUGAUGUUUGACAUUAAUUUCAAAAAAUUCUCAGUCAUUACUGUUUCAAAUAUUACUUCUGUCUCUCUCUCUCUCUCUCUGUCUCUGUCUCUCUCUGUCUCUCUCUCUCUCUCUCCUCCUUGUUUUCCCAUUGUGUGUUUAUACCUUUUGUAGUUGCCUAACAUUGUUGAAUAUUUUGUUCUUUUUUUAUCUUUAGUCAUUCUAAGCAGCAAAGCAUUCAAGAGGUGACUUGGGUGCUGUUAAAGGCAUCCAGUUUUAUAAGGGAAGCAGAGCAUAAGCAUAAAGGUUUGGAAAGUUUGCAGCCUGACAAUGCAAUAG